Molecule: ribosomal RNA, 553 nt
Filed under: uncultured crenarchaeote
Lineage: Archaea; Thermoproteati; Thermoproteota
Description: bacterial SSU rRNA
Rfam family: Archaeal small subunit ribosomal RNA
Source: RNAcentral
AUGGGGUGCAGCAGGGGAGAAAACUUUGCAAUGUGCGAAAGCACGACAAGGUUAAUCCGAGUGUUUUCUGCUAAAGAAAUCUUUUGUUAGUUCUAAAACCACUAACGAAUAAGGGGUGGGCAAGUUCUGGUGUCAGCCGCCGCGGUAAAACCAGCACCUCAAGUGGUCAGGAUGAUUAUUGGGCCUAAAGCAUCCGUAGCCGGCUAUGUUAGUUUUCGGUUAAAUCCAUGUGCUCAACACAUGGGCUGUCGAGAAUACUGCAUAGCUAGGGAGUGGGAGAGGUAGACGGUACUCGGUAGGAAGGGGUAAAAUCCUUUGAUCUAUCGAUGACCACCAGUGGCGAAGGCGGUCUACCAGAACAUGUCCGACGGUGAGGGAUGAAAGCUGGGGGAGCAAACCGGAUUAGAUACCCGGGUAGUCCCAGCUGUAAACUAUGCAAACUCAGUGAUGCAUUGGCUUGUGGCCAGUGCAGUGCCGCAGAGAAGUCGUUAAGUUUGCCGCCUGGGAAGUACGUACGCAAGUAUGAAACUUAAAGGAAUUGGCGGGGGAGCAC